GAUGAACGCUGGCGGCGUGCCUAAUACAUGCAAGUCGAGCGAACAGACGAGGAGCUUGCUCCUCUGACGUUAGCGGCGGACGGGUGAGUAACACGUGGAUAACCUACCUAUAAGACUGGGAUAACUUCGGGAAACCGGAGCUAAUACCGGAUAAUAUAUUGAACCGCAUGGUUCAAUAGUGAAAGACGGUUUUGCUGUCACUUAUAGAUGGAUCCGCGCCGCAUUAGCUAGUUGGUAAGGUAACGGCUUACCAAGGCAACGAUGCGUAGCCGACCUGAGGGGGUGAUCGGCCACACUGGAACUGAGACACGGUCCAGACUCCUACGGGAGGCAGCAGUAGGGAAUCUUCCGCAAUGGGCGAAAGCCUGACGGAGCAACGCCGCGUGAGUGAUGAAGGUCUUCGGAUCGUAAAACUCUGUUAUUUGGGAAGAACAAAUGUGUAAGUAACUAUGCACGUCUUGACGGUACCUAAUCAGAAAGCCACGGCUAACUACGUG
This 497-nucleotide ribosomal RNA is filed under the name uncultured bacterium. RNAcentral describes it as "partial 16S ribosomal RNA". It matches the Rfam family "Bacterial small subunit ribosomal RNA", at positions 28 to 507 of the family's 1533-position model. The record is from RNAcentral.